UGGCGAACGGGGGAGUAACGCGUGAGGAACCUGCCUCAAAGAGGGGGACAACAGUUGGAAACGACUGCUAAUACCGCAUAAGCCCACGACCCGGCAUCGGGUAGAGGGAAAAGGAGCAAUCCGCUUUGAGAUGGCCUCGCGUCCGAUUAGCUGGUUGGUGAGGUAACGGCCCACCAAGGCGACGAUCGGUAGCCGGACUGAGAGGUUGAACGGCCACAUUGGGACUGAGACACGGCCCAG
This 240-nucleotide ribosomal RNA is filed under the name uncultured bacterium. Its description in RNAcentral is "partial 16S ribosomal RNA". It matches the Rfam family "Bacterial small subunit ribosomal RNA", at positions 96 to 334 of the family's 1533-position model. The record is from RNAcentral.